AACGCAUGGUGAAGCUUGAAGAUGAGGUGUCCGGCUGCUUUGGUUGUCGGGUACUUAAUGAUGUGAACUUCCCAUAACGGGCUUGUCUUUUGGUGGUCAGCAAGAAACAGAGACAAUGAUUAUGAAUUACCAUAAUGGAUGAAAAUCUUGGAUUGAUGGGAAGGAAGAGAUCCUGAAGUAAUGAUAGUGCGCUGGAAUCGUCUAUGGGAUAUUCAGAUUCCAUUAUUGAUAGGACGCGAAUUGAUAAGGUGAACCGCUAUGUAAAAUACCGGGUUCGGCUGUCUUUCGAGUUUUGGUUUCGGAAGCUGGUGGUGUUGCUAGUAGUAGCAGUAUUUGGCUCAGGGAGUAUGCAAGGGAGAUGAGUUCUUUGUGGAGCUUAUGAGGUGAAGGUUGAGGACUUGAGGAUAACCUUCCCUCAAUUUUGUGUACAUUUAUACUGAACUCGUAUUGCAUUUAUGAAAGUUAAAUGGGAGUUGAAACCAUUAUUGAAGCUGUUGAAGUUGAAACCAUUAUUGCAGAACGGCCGUGCAGUUGACUCCCAUCCUAUUAUGUAUUGUCCUGUGAUCUUCACUGAUGAUACGAAUCUGCCAAUUUUUGUUUUUGAGUGGAAUAGUUAAUGGUGUCAAUAAGUCUAAAGAAAGUUCAGUUAUGGAGGAUGAUGAUAUGGUGUCGAGGGAAGUGAAAUUUCGUGUUUAUCUCCUUCAUAAACAUAGCAAUGUUUAACAAGUGGCAAUUUCGCAUUUAACUCUAACAGAUAUAUAGUUUAUUUAUUAACUAACAGUUUUGUAUUUAAUUGUAAUAAAUAGGAAAUUUCGACUUUUGCUACCACAAAAAACCUUGAGUUUCAUUUUUGCUACCCCUUAAAUAUUUUUAUUUUAUUUUACUACCACCUAAAAACACCUUUGUCAAAAUUUGCUACCACUUAACGGAAUCCAUUAAGUUUAUUCAAGAUUCCGUUAAGUUUAUUCAAAAAAAAAA
Long non-coding RNA from Chenopodium quinoa (quinoa), 978 nucleotides. RefSeq lists it as uncharacterized. Lineage: Eukaryota; Viridiplantae; Streptophyta; Magnoliopsida; Caryophyllales; Amaranthaceae. The transcript is spliced from 3 exons. The record is from RefSeq and is a predicted model, not a curated record.